AUUGUUGCCUCGGCGGAUCAGCCCGCUCCCGGUAAAACGGGACGGCCCGCCAGAGGACCCCUAAACUCUGUUUCUAUAUGUAACUUCUGAGUAAAACCAUAAAUAAAUCAAAACUUUCAACAACGGAUCUCUUGGUUCUGGCAUCGAUGAAGAACGCAGCAAAAUGCGAUAAGUAAUGUGAAUUGCAGAAUUCAGUGAAUCAUCGAAUCUUUGAACGCACAUUGCGCCCGCCAGUAUUCUGGCGGGCAUGCCUGUUCGAGCGUCAUUUCAACCCUCAAGCCCAGCUUGGUGUUGGGACUCGCGAGUUAAAUCGCGUUCCCCAAAUUGAUUGGCGGUCACGUCGAGCUUCCAUAGCGUAGUAGUAAAACCCUCGUUACUGGUAAUCGUCGCGGCCACGCCGUUAAACCCCAACUUCUGAAUGUUGACCUCGGAUCAGGUAGGAAUACCCGCUGAACUUAAGCAUAUCAU
RNAcentral lists this ribosomal RNA (468 nucleotides) under Fusarium circinatum. RNAcentral's name for it is "eukaryotic LSU rRNA". The stretch from base 112 to 265 matches the Rfam family "5.8S ribosomal RNA". The record is from RNAcentral. Lineage: Eukaryota; Fungi; Ascomycota; Sordariomycetes; Hypocreales; Nectriaceae.